Myotis lucifugus (little brown bat) is the source of this 135-nucleotide small nucleolar RNA. Ensembl annotates it as small nucleolar RNA SNORA5. The record is from Ensembl. NCBI's taxonomy places the organism in Eukaryota, Metazoa, Chordata, Mammalia, Chiroptera, Vespertilionidae.
UCCACCUCUAUAAAAUGAGAAGGUUGGAUUUAAAGCCACCAGAUCUCGCCCAGAAGCCUGCCACAGAAACACUGUGGUGCAUGGGCCCUGAUCCCCUCUGCUGGGCCUCAGGGAUAAGUUUGGCUACAGACAUAA